GGGGGGGGGGGGGACACUUCACCUUCAGUUUCAGGAGACAAGACUGAAGGACACAGAGAGCAUCUGAGUGACGUUUAAAACUCUAACUAUCCACGUUCAUGUAUGACUGAUACCUUAAGGGGGCUGAACGCCUCCACAUACGCAAGAAAAGGUAGCAGAGUACAGGGAUCUGGGAGAAUUCAGGUCGAGGUCCCCGCUGAAAAGGGAGAUAAAGUCAGAGGGCAUCGCAAUCCCUCAGACCGAGGAAACCGGACACCCUCAGUCACACAGCGGCGCGUCGCUCAACUCUUUUCGAUUGUCUCUGUGACGGACGGAAACCCCCAAAACUUCUCUUCUCUCGUCUGGAGAGUAACUUCAGCGUUAUCGAUGGAGCUGCUGGACUGUCUGCUGUCACUCCGCCGCCGCUCGGUGCCCCUCGGUCCGCCUACAGCGCAUGUUUGUUGUCAGCAUACGACCCGAGCGGCUCACUCGGGGAGCCACGCCCCCCCUCCGGUGACGCAACACGUAAGACUUACGUAGGAAGCAUGUUGUGGCAAUGUCUGGACAAACCGAGAAGUGUUUUAGUCCUUUUGAUGAAGACAGACAAGGCGCUCCAACUGAGAAUGAUGAUGGCCAACUCGAGCAGGUUCCACUUGCUCUUGAAGGCGACUCCAUCCUGGACCGUAGGACCCCAUGUCCUCCAACUCCCAGGAGUAUGGAGCGUGGCAGUCCGGCACAGAUCGCUGCAUGGAGCGAGCGACGCGGCAGGAGUUUUUCUGGAC
Long non-coding RNA from Acanthochromis polyacanthus (spiny chromis), 761 nucleotides. RefSeq lists it as uncharacterized. NCBI's taxonomy places the organism in Eukaryota, Metazoa, Chordata, Actinopteri, Pomacentridae. The transcript is spliced from 4 exons. The record is from RefSeq and is a predicted model, not a curated record.